RNAcentral lists this long non-coding RNA (8349 nucleotides) under Panax ginseng (ginseng). RNAcentral describes it as "long non-coding RNA (PGIN_LNC011291)". The record is from RNAcentral. Lineage: Eukaryota; Viridiplantae; Streptophyta; Magnoliopsida; Apiales; Araliaceae.
UUCCCUUACCUUUUCCAUUUUUCGUUCAAGAUUAAGAAAGAAACAAAAGCAGCCUUCCAUUUCAUUCCAAAAGAAGGAAAUAAAAUCAUGGAGAUACUAGUAACUAUAGUUAUCAAAAGAGAAGUUUCAAUAGGAGCAGGAGCUGGGUUAACUGAAGAGAGAGAGAGCUUUGAUUUUUAGACAACCAAAUCAGGUAUAAUUGAUGCUAUAUAUAUAAUUGUUAUUAAAUAAGGAGUUUAGUAUGUAUAAUCGUUGCUAUGAUACUCUGUUUGGUUGGAAAAUUGUGUAUAAGAAUGAAAAAUUCUGGCUAAACUUUGCUUAAACAAUUUUGAAAUCUGAAGUUUUAAAUUUACGCCUUUAUGUUGUUUGAUAAAAUGCCUCAUAGAGGCUAAAGUGUUUACAACUAAUAAUUUACAAAUGCUUGAAACCAAGUUAUGUGCAUAUAUGUAUUAGAAGAUAACUCACAUGAAGGUUUAAUUUGAUUAUCCAGACUGCGUUUCAUAUUACCAAGGUCUCUAGUGAGUAUUUUAUCAAGGUCAGUGGGUGAAAACCCAUAUGAAUUGAGGUAAUCAAAUUUGGGUUUACGUGUGUUGUCUGGAUGGAAAGAUCUGUACUGGGCUAUUUCUUUCUUCUUUUUUUUUUUUUGCUAAAUUUAAACUGUAUUGAAAGAAAGGAAAUUACAAAAAUCAUGGGUAACCCCAAUCAGAGAAUAGCAUAGACAUCAUACGACAAGCCAUAUAAAGUCAUGACUAUAGAAUACCGCAGGCUGAAAGCCUAACAACACUAACAAUUUUACUGUUAGUACAAACCAUAACCAAAACAUACAAUUGCUUAAACAAGCUGACCAUUACAGACCCAAAGAAAACUAGUAUCUUUAACAAAGUCUAAACAGCCACCCGAUUGCAUCAAAGAAGCCACUCUUCGGCAGAAAUGACCAACCUCAUUUAUACAGCUUCAUGACAUAGAUAAAAUCGAGCAGCAGCAGAGGGCAUUCUAUAGAUCCCCAGGCACCCAUCCAGAUCAGACAACAACUUCCCUACCAAAUAGCAUUAAGAGGAUCCACUGUUUCUCUCCCCUAUGGCCCCAAAUAUAGCUGCAACCGCAAAACUCAGCAUCCACUGUCUGUCUAUAGUCCUUUCUAGCCCACAGAGGAGCAUCAGCCGAGUAGAUUUAGCUACAGCUGCUCGAAAUCUCCAUUCUGUAGCAGCCAUCAGAAUCAUUUUAUAGCAGUGGCAGUAGGAUACCAGAGAACCCAAGAAUGGCCACGGCCUAGCAGGUCUGUAGCAGCAGAAGAUGGCCCCGACCCACAGCUGCUCGUCCUGUAGCAUCAGUAGUAGCAUCAGCAGACAAUUCCGAGCAGCACAACCACAUCAUUAGCAACACAACAAAACGGCACUAUGAGGUACCGAGCAUCUGCAUCUGCAGCGCAUGCGCAAUAGCAUUCAGAACUAGCAGCAAAACCCUGGAUUGGGCCCUGACGCAAUGGUUAGUAGCAUCAUUAGCAAUUCCGAUUGGGCCCUCCCAAGUUCUAACCAUCACUCGGUUAUUGAAUUCAGACAUCUCUUCUCUCCGGCCAUAGGCUGCAACCCCUCCAUAGAGGACUCGGUUCUAUGGGACAACACUAAUACCGUUGGGAAAGCAACUUCCUUCUUUUGGGGUUCCAUCCGAUCCUAUGGUAAUCUAGUGACAUGGGAUAAUCUGGUGUGGCACAAAUACCUCCCUCCUCGAUAUUAUUUCUUCUUAUGGCUUGCAUUCCAGAACGGGUUACGUACCAAGGAUCGGCUCUCAAAUUAUGGGCUCGUUGUAAACCAAACAUGCCUUUUAUGUAACUCCCACAAUGAGACUUUCGACCAUCUUUUCUUCAACUGCCCUUUCUCCUACAACAUGCUCUUUUCUGUUCUCAGGAACUGUGGGUGGAAGGGAUCCUCAAGGAGUUGGAACCCUAUCACUUCUUUCCUCAUUGCCCAACCAAACAGCUCCGUUCAACAAGGUAUUCUUCUCCUAGGUUUUGCCACGGUUGCUUACCAUAUUUGGCAGGAAAGAAACGCUAGGAUACAUGAUAAAGGUCCCAUGCCGGUUAGGACUGUCACCCGUAAUGUUAUGCAGAUUUUGAAAUGCAAGCUCCACUCCAUUCGUAGAUUCCAAAAAGUGAAAGACAGUCCAUGGUUUUCUAAUCUAGCCCUCUAGAGACCUGUCUAUUUCAGGUUUGCCACUGUCGCUGAGCUGAUGGGCUAUUUCUUAAAUUUGGGUUUCAAUGAAGCCAUAGAUUUUGAAGAGAGAGAAAAUAGAUUCAUUUUGUGUCUCAGUAAUUUCAUAUCUGAAAAAUAUUUUUGAUUUAAAGGACAUAAUUGGGGUGAUUUUAAAGAACUAAUAGUAGUUUUUUUAGCAAAAUCUUUUGUAUAAAAAACUAAGCAUCAUGAUUUAACAAAAGGGGUUGUAUGAGAUUUCAGAAAUUACCAACCUUUUAAGUUCCUUUUGAAUCUCUGAGUCUCUAUAGAACGAACGAACUGAACAUUAGUGAAUUAUUAAAAAAAAUGAGAAUAUACACAUACAACAUUUCGUUUUUGGAAAACAUAGAAGGAUUGUUUUUGAUGUUGGAUUUUUAGAGCUAAGUAUUUUGUGGGCUAUAUAUGACCACUAUCAUGAUGUUUCUCUUUUCUAUUUAAAAAUCAUACGGAGGCAUUUGGUGCACGUGAGAACUUGUGAAAACUUAGUAAACAAGAAAAAUCGAGGCAAUAAUGCUAUUCACAGUGGAGGGCCAAAACCAUUUGUUGUUGAGGAUUGUGAUCUUGUGAGAAGAAGCCUAAGAUUUUCAGCAACUUGGAUCUUUUAAUUUCCAGCUGCUUCUUCAUGUUCUUCACCUAUGCAAACAUAAUAAAAUUAAGUGCCAGAAAAAUUAAGCUGUAUUUAGGAUUUUUUACACAAACCAGGGAAACAAGUAUAUAGCUACAUACUCUUUUCCUCAGUUUGCUGUAUUAAAGAGAGCAAUUCGAUAUGCAUUUGAACAACUAAAACGUCGUAUUUUCGAUGUGAACUCUUGCAACAUGCUAAUUCUGCAAGUAACAUUUCUGAUUGCCCUUUCUUUAAACCAAGAACUUAUAACAUAGGCACAAUCAUUUAAAGAAAAUAACAUGUCUUAAAUGCAAUAUUGGUAGGUUUAGCCUUUUUUGCUCUUCUAAAUGUAAAAGAUGUUGGAAUCCAUGGAAGACAGUGGAAUACUUGCACAAAAUUUUAAAGUAGUCUCAGAUGACAUAGAAAAAUUCACUUCUUCACAACGAAAUUCAUCUGCUGGCUUUCUUUUGGAAGCUUCUUUCUUCUUGUGUGUUGUAGGCCUUCGGUAAUUCUUUUCUCUUUCAUUAGAAACCCUGAAAGAACCUUACAUUUCUUUUUAUCAAUUUUCUCUAUAAAGGCUCCCCUCUUCCUAUUGCCCAUCAACGCCUAAUCAAGUUCAGUAUCUUUUCUUCAAAUUCGUAACUUAGUAUUUUUUUUUGUUCUUUUCUCACUGCCCUUCAUUAUUGGAGGCUUGUGUUUAGAUUUUAAAUCACUUUUCCUGCCUGAAUUGUUCACUUUGGUGAUUCUUCUCACUAAAUCUACUGAUGCAACAUAAAAUUUAAAGUUUGAAAUGCAAUAGAUGGAAAUGUUAUAUCUGAGCAGACCUUGCCUGAAUUAGUUGGCUUUAUAACCAAAGCACAUGCAUAUUGUGUGCUCUUUUUAGAUUUCUUCACAUUAAGGUCAUUCUUCCCAUUUGCCUUUGCAGCAUGCAUAAGGAUCCCAGUAGGUUGACAACCUCUCCUCUUCUUACAUUACCCAAUAAUAUACUCCUCAAAAACAUCAAAAAUUACUAAAUUAAGAAAUUCUUGAAAUAGGUCUUCUCUGAUUUAAAACAAACAAACACUUACCUGCAAUCUACUUCCUUUGUUGUAAUCAGGGUUAGUUGGGAGUUCUGUUUUCCCUUUGUUCAUAUUAGCAUGUUUUAAUUUCUUAUCAUUUGUUGCUAUAUUUUUCAUUGGUGUUGAAUGGAUGAAAAUAUGAUACCAUCUCUUUUCAUCUCUGAUCACGAUAGGAGUAAUUCAAUAUGUUGUGUUGUGGGGUUUCUUUGCUUUUGUUUGGGGUUUUGCGAAGGAUCUAUCAAUUUUGGUCUCCUGACCCGGUCAAAACAUAUGGGGCCUUUUUCGGCUGUUUAGUUCUUAAUUUGGGGAUUUGCUCCCUACUAAUUUUCGAAGCUUUAUUUUUUUAUUCCCUCUAUUAAAUCAGUUUGGGUGUGUUUUGAUUCAUUUAUUCAAAUGGUUUUUGAUUUAGUUCAAUUGGAUUUAUCUGUGUUCCGGUGUAAUAGCCGGUGUUUAUUUUUAGAAAUCAUAUUUAUCAUUGUUGAGUUCAGGAUCUGAUUUGAUUUUCAGGGAGAUCCAAUUGAAGGUUAGAAAAUCACACAUCAGAAAAAGCGAACAAACGAGUGGGUACAACCUGAAAAUGAAUCUACAUACGUAAGUUAUACAAACCUUACUUUGUUAACCACCAGCAUUUAGUGCAGCGGUUAAGGAUUGAUUGGGGGCGAGCCGUAAACCCGGAUGUCCUCAGUUCGAACCCCGCUAGCAACAAGUGUUAAGCCAGAAAUGGUCAUGGUGGCCACGGUACCCCCGGUACAAGUCGGGUAGCAAACCGCUCUGGUAUCGGGCUCGGGGGAUUAGUCGGCCUGCGGAUCGGAAACCCACGGUUAACAAAAAAAAAACCUUACUUUGUUUUUAAAUUUGGGAUUACCUUUGAAUUAUUUGCAUUUGUUGUUAAUUUCACACAAUGAAAUGAAAUCACUUGAGAUUGAAUUCAUCUAUGAGAUGGAAGUAGAAUCUGGAAAUGGUGUACUGAUAAAAGGGAGAUUAUAACUCUAGUGUUGGGCAAGAAGGUAGGGAGAUUACUUGAUUUUGGAUUUUUUCCUUGAGCAGAGAAUUCUUCAUCCAUCGAAAAAGAGAAAAUUGCAUUGGCAGAUUGACAAUCUUGAGAAUAUAAUGAACAAGUUGGUCAACAAUCUAGAUUUUUUUCUAUUGAUUCAAGGUAACACUAGCUUAGGGACAAAAAGAACUGAAAACAACUCUUGAUCAUUAUACAUGGACAUUCAAACUGUUGAACUUUCUUGUGGACACUACAAAAAUUUGGAUAUUCAUGUUAAACUUUAUGUUAGACUUGGAAAAUCAUUAACUUAAAUUACAAUGGAUGAUAUUUGAAUUUUGAUUUUCCUAUUUUGGUUAAAUAUGAUGGAAAGUUAAAAUUUAAUUAAUUUAUUAUCACGGUUGGUGUUUUUCUAUUGUUACAGUCCUUAACUUAUUUGAGGCAAAAUAUUAAUUGGGUAAACAACUCUUUUAAUAUAAUGUUUAAGAAUGAAUCAGGUAUGUUGGAUACAUUGAAGAAGCUCUUUCAGCUUUAUAUCAAGUAGUAAUAUAAUUUUCUUAGUUCCAAAAGUUUUCAUAAUAUCACAAAACGCAUUCCAUGCUUGUUUGAAAUUAUCUCAUUGAUUAGAAUAACAAUACAAUUUAGCUAUAAUUUCAAGCCUAAUUUCACGAAAUAUUAUCCAUCAACAUUUCAAGAUAAUAAAUCUCUAUAACAAGAAUAGAUUCAAGAGUGAGUAUGCCAGCAUCGAAUGUAAGACCCCAACUUUUUAUGAAUAAAGAUUUAAUUUUUUUCUAAAUAUUAUUUUGAAUAAUAAGGUGUUGAUUUGAUAUAAUGCUAUAGUUAUGGGUGAUAUGUGCAAAUUUACAAAGUAAGCAAGUUGUCAUUAAAUAUUCGUUUUGUCGGGGAAUAUUCUUUUUGUCGGGGAAUAUCCGUACAAUGAUGCAAUCAUCGGUGGACAACAUAACAGAAUAACUAUCCGUGGUUGCACAGUAGCAUACGGUAGCACAGUAUCUCUGAUUAUUGAUUCUUAGGUAAGAAGUCACUCAAUAAUUGAUACAGUAAAAAUUGGACAGUCUUUCAUAUUAUUGAUGCAAUAAUUGCUACAAUUAUAAUUAAUUAGUAUUUUACAUUAUUGAUUCAAUAAUUGUCGUGACAUGGUAACUCAUAUUAUUGAAAUGAUAUUAUUAGAUAGCAUUAUUGAUAAUGUCUAGAAAGUUAUGUCGAGGAAAGAGGUUAGGUUAUAUAAUUGCGCGCCAGUAUGGAAGAAUCCUUAUCGGAAAGUCCACUCUUUCCUUGGAAUGAUCUGGUUGUCAGUAUUGUGAAUCUAUAAUAUUAAUUAGAAAUAAUUAUUGAAGAAUUGUAAAUAAUUGAUGAUAUGGUAAGUAAAUAUUUCCUCAAUUUUGUUAUAAAUGGAAGAAUUUUAGAAUGAGACAUUUGUCGAAAGUUUGACAUAUUUUUCUAUAAGACUAUAAUUAUCUUCUCCAAUAAAAUAUUCAUUCAAAUAUAUUAUUAUAAUAUUACAUUAUCAUAGUAUAAUGUGAUAAUAUAAUAGUAAUUUAAAUGGUAAAUAUUAUUAUAUAUUUUUUGGCAUGUGAAUUAAAUUGAGUGAAGAUGAUCAAAUUGAAUUUGAAUUAGUUUUCAAAUUGAAUUUGAAUUCUUUUAUUUCAAAUAAACAUGUGAAUAAAUGUGGGAAUUCUCAUUUUAAGUUUUAACUCUCCUUUUUCAAAUAGGUGUGCUGCAUUUUCAAAACUAAUGUGCAUAUGUGUAAAUUUUGUUAAUUCUAGUGUGCUAGCAUUUUCCUAUAAAUAGGUUGCUUAGGUAAACAAUGAAACUCACACUAGCAUAAAAAAAUUCUCUCUAUAAUAUUGAGUGUAUUUCUUGUGAGUAUAAGGAUAUUUUUAGUGUUGAUAACAGUGCAAGAUUUCCUCAGCAUAAUCUCCGUUAUUCCAGUCAGAACUACUUUUCUACUAAGGUAAAGGAUGUUAUUUUCUUUCAAUACUCGUAAAUGAUAUUAUUUCCUUCCAUACUCGUAAGGGAUAUCAUUUUUAUUCAUACUCCAUGUUAUGUAAGUGACAUUAUUUCAUUUCAUAUUCCUAAAUUUAAACUUACUAUGGUAAGUAUUGCUUCUAACUUACCAAAAAAAAAAAGUAUUGCUUCUAUAAUUCCUGAAAUGAUUAGAAAUUCAUUAAGAUUUGCGCUUCAUCUAAUAUCAUUUCACUGGAAUAUUGGUCUAAAGAUUCUUAUUAUAUUUUAAUCUUUUAAUGUUGGGGUACUAUUCAUGGGUACUAUUCAUAUGGUACUAUUCAUGAGUACUGUUCACAACAAAAUUUAAUUUCUUUUCUGUCCAAAUUAUUUUUGAUACAUGAAUAUCAUUAUUGAAUUUUACUCCACAAUUAGUUAUCAUGUUGACAAUUUGGACUUUCUUGAACUUUGGAUAAAUUAAAUUAUAAAUCUUUAAUAUUUAUCAUUGAUCUCACUUGAUUGAUUCUUUAUAUCAUUGUCAUCAUCCUCAUGCUUAUAUUAUGUUAAAAGUCAUCUUUGGCCCGUAGUGCAAAGAUGGACUGUUGAUUGGUAUGAUUAUGACCAAGAUUUGUGUAUUGGUAUAAUCAUAACUUUUAAUGUUACAGAUAAAAGUUUGUGGUGAAAGUCCUCUUUGGCUCGAAGUGCAUAGAUGGACAGGUGUUUGACAUGAUUAUGACCAUUGGUGAUACAAACGAUUAUCUUUGGCCUGUACUGCAUAGAUAACUCUUUGAUUGGAAAUAAUUAUUGAUUGGUGUUGCAGGGAUAAAAUAUUGAUGAUGAACUUUUAAAUUAUAGAAGAUAGUAUACAUCAUGCUCUACUUGACUCUUCUAAUGGAUUGUUGUUUCCGCUGCAGUUGUUGAUCUAAAACUUGUUGUCUAUUGUAUUCUAUCAGAUUUUUCCCUGUUGAGGACUAAGGAUAAUUUGUUCUACAUUAUCUUAGUCAUAAUAUUCUUUACUUGGCUAGUUGAGCUCACCCUUUUUCUUUUGGUUCCAUUGUUCUUCCCAGGAGGUGAGAAUAUAGCUGGGACUAGUCGGGGAUUGGAGUAAUGGUUCAAGAUGGUUACUAUAGGAGUCCUCACUAUUUUGUAAAAAAGUGUAACAAUAAUUAUAAUGAGGACUUUAUUUGAGUUUGGAUAUUGUCUACAAGAUAAUAUUUGUAUUAAAACUCACAUCUUAUACUGUCAUAUUUUACUUGACAAUUAAUAGUUGUAUAAUUGAAGUUUGUAUUUGAAUUAUGUACCAUGUAUUUGGCGACUCAGAAUGGGUUGUGUGGACCUAUUUUGGGGGCGUCACAGUUGGUAUCAGAGCUUAGGGAUAUGAUCUCUGGUGGAGAUCUGGGAUUAUAACUAGGAGGGGAUAGACGAGUAAAUUCUUCGCUAGUGUGUCCUACCUAAGCUUAUUUGUUAUUUAAUUGGUCGGUCAAAAUAUAUGGAUAAUAUCUGGAA